GCCUCCGUGGUGUAAUGGUCAGCACACUCGGCGCGUAUUGAGAGAUUCGAGGUUCGAGUCCCGGUGAGGGCA
RNAcentral lists this transfer RNA (72 nucleotides) under Stegodyphus mimosarum. It matches the Rfam family "tRNA". From Rfam's summary of the family: Transfer RNA (tRNA) molecules are approximately 80 nucleotides in length. The record is from Rfam by way of RNAcentral. Lineage: Eukaryota; Metazoa; Arthropoda; Arachnida; Araneae; Eresidae.